UUGAUGAUACAUAUAAAGUGUUGUAGUCUUGAGUAGUCAACUCACAUCUAUGACCUCGGGAAAAUAAUUUGUUGAAACCCUAUAAAGGUUGUGCUCAUUUGAAAAAUGAAGAUUUUGAUGUAAAAAUUAUUCAAAUCCAAAUUCAUAUAAAAGAUAUUAACUAAAUAAAAAAGUGAAGGAAAACAAGAAAAUACAAAAAAAUACAAGCCACCUCCUAUUUCUCUCACUAGAAACGAAAAAAAUAAAUUCGUUGUC
Molecule: long non-coding RNA, 255 nt
Filed under: Linum usitatissimum (flax)
Lineage: Eukaryota; Viridiplantae; Streptophyta; Magnoliopsida; Malpighiales; Linaceae
Description: long non-coding RNA (LUSI_LNC004729)
Source: RNAcentral